UCAGUCAUAGUUUGUUUAAUGGUAUUUAUUACUCGAAUAAUCAUAGUAACUCUAGAGAUAAUACAUGCAACAAACCCCAACUUUUUAAAGGGAUGCAUAUAUUAGAUAAAAGGUAGAUGUGGGCUCUUCCCCUGUUUUUGAUGAUUCAUGAUAACUAAAUGGAUUGCACAGUCAUUAUGUUGGCGACACAUCAUUCAAAUUUUUGC
Molecule: non-coding RNA, 206 nt
Organism: Capsicum annuum
Lineage: Eukaryota; Viridiplantae; Streptophyta; Magnoliopsida; Solanales; Solanaceae
Source: Rfam